GCUUACGGCCAUACCACCCUGAACACGACGCUCUUCCGAUCUCGGAAGCUAAGCAGGGUCGGGCCUGGUUAGUACUUGGAUGGGAGACCGCCUGGGAAUACCAGGUGCUGUAAGCU
RNAcentral lists this ribosomal RNA (116 nucleotides) under Labrus bergylta (ballan wrasse). The record is from RNAcentral. Lineage: Eukaryota; Metazoa; Chordata; Actinopteri; Labriformes; Labridae.